UCCCUGGUGGAGUAGUGGUUAGGCCACAGUGCUCUCACUGCUGCAGCCCAGGUUUGAUUCCUGACCAGGGAA
This 72-nucleotide transfer RNA is filed under the name Pangasianodon gigas (Mekong giant catfish). Its description in RNAcentral is "tRNA-Glu". It matches the Rfam family "tRNA". Rfam says of the family: Transfer RNA (tRNA) molecules are approximately 80 nucleotides in length. Their secondary structure includes four short double-helical elements and three loops (D, anti-codon, and T loops). The record is from RNAcentral. Lineage: Eukaryota; Metazoa; Chordata; Actinopteri; Siluriformes; Pangasiidae.